Molecule: ribosomal RNA, 423 nt
Filed under: uncultured bacterium
Lineage: Bacteria
Description: bacterial SSU rRNA
Rfam family: Bacterial small subunit ribosomal RNA
Source: RNAcentral
UAGGGAAUAUUGGGCAAUGGGCGAGAGCCUGACCCAGCCAUGCCGCGUGCCGGAUGAAGGCCUUCUGGGUUGUAAACGGCUUUUCUCAGGGAAGAAAAAGAGGAUGCGUCCUAAACUGACGGUACCUGAGGAAUAAGCACCGGCUAACUCCGUGCCAGCAGCCGCGGUAAUACGGAGGGUGCAAGCGUUGUCCGGAUUUAUUGGGUUUAAAGGGUGCGUAGGUGGCGUGUUAAGUCCGGGGUGAAAGCCCACAGCUCAACUGUGGAACUGCCCUGGAUACUGGCAGGCUUGAGAGUCGUCGAGGGUGGCGGAAUGGACGGUGUAGCGGUGAAAUGCAUAGAUACCGUCCAGAACCCCAAUUGCGUAGGCAGCUGCCUAGGCGACAUCUGACACUGAGGCACGAAAGCGUGGGGAGCGAACAGG